Oncorhynchus keta (chum salmon) is the source of this 1844-nucleotide long non-coding RNA. RefSeq lists it as uncharacterized. NCBI's taxonomy places the organism in Eukaryota, Metazoa, Chordata, Actinopteri, Salmoniformes, Salmonidae. The record is from RefSeq and is a predicted model, not a curated record. The transcript has 3 exons.
UAGGGGUAUGACAGAAAGUAGCUAGGGUUACGAGACAAACCAGAGACCGUUCUGCCAAGUUCAGCUCUCCUACAGUCCUCCCAUUUGCAUGUGAUACCCGGAGCCCUGAAACCCGGCAGCGGGAGGUCGGCUGGCCCAGGAACCCGGCAGCGGGAGGUCGGCUGGCCCUGAAACCCGGCAGCGGGAGGUCGGCUGGCCCUGAAACCCGGCAGCGGGAGGUCGGCUGGCCCUGAAACCCGGCAGCGGGAGGUCGGCUGGCCCUGAAACCCGGCAGCGGGAGGUCGGCUGGCCCUGAAACCCGGCAGCGGGAGGUCGGCUGGCCCUGAAACCCGGCAGCGGGAGGUCGGCUGGCCCUGAAACCCGGCAGCGGGAGGUCGGCUGGCCCUGAAACCCGGCAGCGGGAGGUCGGCUGGCCCUGAAACCCGGCAGCGGGAGGUCGGCUGGCCCUGAAACCCGGCAGCGGGAGGUCGGCUGGCCCUGAAACCCGGCAGCGGGAGGUCGGCUGGCCCUGAAACCCGGCAGCGGGAGGUCGGCUGGCCCUGAAACCCGGCAGCGGGAGGUCGGCUGGCCCUGAAACCCGGCAGCGGGAGGUCGGCUGGCCCUGAAACCCGGCAGCGGGAGGUCGGCUGGCCCUGAAACCCGGCAGCGGGAGGUCGGCUGGCCCUGAAACCCGGCAGCGGGAGGUCGGCUGGCCCUGAAACCCGGCAGCGGGAGGUCGGCUGGCCCUGAAACCCGGCAGCGGGAGGUCGGCUGGCCCUGAAACCCGGCAGCGGGAGGUCGGCUGGCCCUGAAACCCGGCAGUGGGAGGUCGGCUGGCCCUGAAACCUGGCAGCGGGAGAGAGCUGUGGUGUCCUGACCUCUGGCUGUUUGGAUGGAAUAAUAUAACACUUCACUUUUCCUCAGAGGCCAUUUUGUUUUCGAAAAGAAGAAAAACAUCAAUGAGCGUCUUGGACAAAAGCCUGUUGAACAAAAAUGUCUCAAAACAAAAACAAGGUCUGGUCAACAAAGAAAUGGAUCAAACAAAGUCUGGUCUUCAAGGACAUAGGGCUUGGCAGUAUACCGCAUUUUAUGAUAUACCGGUGUUGAUGCAGGGACCGGUUUGGGUUUUUACUUUACCUUCUAUACCAGUAUUUGAAUGUUUGUUUUUUUGAAUGUGAUACGCCACGUGAAAUGUAAAUUUUUAUUGUUAACUUCGCUUCUUGAGUCAUCUCUCUCCGCUCUUUAUCUCUGUGCCACUUUCCACACAGAACUAGCCACGCCCCCUGUCACUCAAGGAGCACAUUUCAUGUUCCUCAACCACGAGACACUUGCGUUCAGUCUGCAUUAGUGAUGGGCAUUCUGGCUCUUCUCAGUGAGUCGGCUCAUUCGGCUCAGCUCACCAAAAAUAGCCAGCUCUUUUGGCUCCCAAACGCCUCUUUAAAAAAUAUAUAUGUUUUGUAUUUUUUAAAGUCAAACAGUUUGAGAUAGUUUGACUAUGAUUGGUGUUAAAACAAAUUCGAAUGAAAUUAAAUCACACACUACCUUAACCACAAUGUAUUUAAAAAUGCAUUGGUUUGUUAUGGAAAAAUAAUGCUAUUAAACAUUUGCAUUUAAAGUAUAACCUUUUUAAUGUAUAUAAACAAAGUGCAUAUAAAUGUAGCAAUUCAAAAGGAAUACAAUCUGAAAAACAUAAUAAUUGAAUAUUGCACCAUAUCAAAGAGAAAUAAAUAACAAUGUGACAAACUGCAGCAUCACACUUAAAACAUUAAACUGGUCCCUCUUUUCUCUCUCUUCUUUAUUGCCAUGUUAUAACCAGCAGCACACAGCAAUGCUGACCAUAUUUAGCUUUUAUGAGAGAUUUGCAU